RNAcentral lists this ribosomal RNA (468 nucleotides) under uncultured bacterium. Its description in RNAcentral is "partial 16S ribosomal RNA". It matches the Rfam family "Bacterial small subunit ribosomal RNA", at positions 28 to 507 of the family's 1533-position model. The record is from RNAcentral.
GACGAACGCUGGCGGCGUGCUUAACACAUGCAAGUCGAACGGAAAGGCCCUGCUUUUGUGGGGUGCUCGAGUGGCGAACGGGUGAGUAACACGUGAGUAACCUGCCCUUUACUUUGGGAUAACUUCAGGAAACUGGGGCUAAUACCGGAUAGGAGCUCCUGCUGCAUGGUGGGGGUUGGAAAGUUUCGGCGGUUGGGGAUGGACUCGCGGCUUAUCAGCUUGUUGGUGGGGUAGUGGCUUACCAAGGCUUUGACGGGUAGCCGGCCUGAGAGGGUGACCGGCCACAUUGGGACUGAGAUACGGCACAGACUCCUACGGGAGGCAGCAGUGGGGAAUAUUGCACAAUGGGCGGAAGACUGAUGCAGCAACGCCGCGUGCGGGAUGACGGCCUUCGGGUUGUAAACCGCUUUCGCCUGUGACGAAGCGUGAGUGACGGUAAUGGGUAAAGAAGCACCGGCUAACUACGUG